RNAcentral lists this unclassified non-coding RNA (201 nucleotides) under uncultured fungus. RNAcentral describes it as "sequence contains ITS1". The record is from RNAcentral. Lineage: Eukaryota; Fungi.
UUUAGCUAUUUUUUGUGUUUUCAGACUUGCAUGUUUAAAAGAGUUUUAAAAUGGUCUCUGACGGGUGCUCGCCAGCCGAGGCCGGCGGGGCCGCGAAGCCACGACCCGCCAAAGCAACAAGAGUGGUAGACGUGGGGUUGGAGGUUGGGCCCAGAGGACCCGAACUCGAUAAUGAUCCUUCCGCAGGUUCACCUACGGAAA